Molecule: ribosomal RNA, 2305 nt
Filed under: Klebsiella pneumoniae
Lineage: Bacteria; Pseudomonadati; Pseudomonadota; Gammaproteobacteria; Enterobacterales; Enterobacteriaceae
Description: 23S ribosomal RNA
Rfam family: Bacterial large subunit ribosomal RNA
Source: RNAcentral
UUAAGCGACUAAGCGUACACGGUGGAUGCCCUGGCAGUCAGAGGCGAUGAAGGACGUGCUAAUCUGCGAAAAGCGUCGGUAAGGUGAUAUGAACCGUUAUAACCGGCGAUGUCCGAAUGGGGAAACCCAGUGCAAUUCGUUGCACUAUCGUUAACUGAAUACAUAGGUUAACGAGGCGAACCGGGGGAACUGAAACAUCUAAGUACCCCGAGGAAAAGAAAUCAACCGAGAUUCCCCCAGUAGCGGCGAGCGAACGGGGAGCAGCCCAGAGUCUGAAUCAGCUUGUGUGUUAGUGGAACGGUCUGGAAAGUCCGACGGUACAGGGUGAUAGUCCCGUACACCAAAAUGCACAGGUUGUGAACUCGAAGAGUAGGGCGGGACACGUGGUAUCCUGUCUGAAUAUGGGGGGACCAUCCUCCAAGGCUAAAUACUCCUGACUGACCGAUAGUGAACCAGUACCGUGAGGGAAAGGCGAAAAGAACCCCGGCGAGGGGAGUGAAAAAGAACCUGAAACCGUGUACGUACAAGCAGUGGGAGCACCUUCGGGUGUGACUGCGUACCUUUUGUAUAAUGGGUCAGCGACUUAUAUUCUGUAGCAAGGUUAACCGUAUAGGGGAGCCGCAGGGAAACCGAGUCUUAACUGGGCGUUAAGUUGCAGGGUAUAGACCCGAAACCCGGUGAUCUAGCCAUGGGCAGGUUGAAGGUUGGGUAACACUAACUGGAGGACCGAACCGACUAAUGUUGAAAAAUUAGCGGAUGACUUGUGGCUGGGGGUGAAAGGCCAAUCAAACCGGGAGAUAGCUGGUUCUCCCCGAAAGCUAUUUAGGUAGCGCCUCGUGAAUUCAUCUUCGGGGGUAGAGCACUGUUUCGGCUAGGGGGUCAUCCCGACUUACCAACCCGAUGCAAACUACGAAUACCGAAGAAUGUUAUCACGGGAGACACACGGCGGGUGCUAACGUCCGUCGUGAAGAGGGAAACAACCCAGACCGCCAGCUAAGGUCCCAAAGUCAUGGUUAAGUGGGAAACGAUGUGGGAAGGCACAGACAGCCAGGAUGUUGGCUUAGAAGCAGCCAUCAUUUAAAGAAAGCGUAAUAGCUCACUGGUCGAGUCGGCCUGCGCGGAAGAUGUAACGGGGCUAAACCAUGCACCGAAGCUGCGGCAGCGACACUAUGUGUUGUUGGGUAGGGGAGCGUUCUGUAAGCCUGCGAAGGUGACCUGUGAGGGUUGCUGGAGGUAUCAGAAGUGCGAAUGCUGACAUAAGUAACGAUAAAGCGGGUGAAAAGCCCGCUCGCCGGAAGACCAAGGGUUCCUGUCCAACGUUAAUCGGGGCAGGGUGAGUCGACCCCUAAGGCGAGGCCGAAAGGCGUAGUCGAUGGGAAACAGGUUAAUAUUCCUGUACUUGGUGUUACUGCGAAGGGGGGACGGAGAAGGCUAUGUUAGCCGGGCGACGGUUGUCCCGGUUUAAGCAUGUAGGCUGGUUAUCCAGGCAAAUCCGGAUAAUCAAGGCUGAGGUGUGAUGACGAGGCACUACGGUGCUGAAGUAACAAAUGCCCUGCUUCCAGGAAAAGCCUCUAAGCAUCAGGUAACAUCAAAUCGUACCCCAAACCGACACAGGUGGUCAGGUAGAGAAUACCAAGGCGCUUGAGAGAACUCGGGUGAAGGAACUAGGCAAAAUGGUGCCGUAACUUCGGGAGAAGGCACGCUGGUGUGUAGGUGAAGCCCCUGCGGGUGGAGCUGAGACCAGUCGAAGAUACCAGCUGGCUGCAACUGUUUAUUAAAAACACAGCACUGUGCAAACACGAAAGUGGACGUAUACGGUGUGACGCCUGCCCGGUGCCGGAAGGUUAAUUGAUGGGGUUAUCCGUAAGGAGAAGCUCUUGAUCGAAGCCCCGGUAAACGGCGGCCGUAACUAUAACGGUCCUAAGGUAGCGAAAUUCCUUGUCGGGUAAGUUCCGACCUGCACGAAUGGCGUAAUGAUGGCCAGGCUGUCUCCACCCGAGACUCAGUGAAAUUGAACUCGCUGUGAAGAUGCAGUGUACCCGCGGCAAGACGGAAAGACCCCGUGAACCUUUACUAUAGCUUGACACUGAACAUUGAGCCUUGAUGUGUAGGAUAGGUGGGAGGCUUUGAAGCGUGGACGCCAGUCUGCGUGGAGCCAACCUUGAAAUACCACCCUUUAAUGUUUGAUGUUCUAACGUUGGCCCCUGACCGGGGUUGCGGACAGUGUCUGGUGGGUAGUUUGACUGGGGCGGUCUCCUCCCAAAGCGUAACGGAGGAGCACGAAGGUUAGCUAAUCCUGGUCGGA